This 468-nucleotide ribosomal RNA is filed under the name uncultured bacterium. RNAcentral describes it as "partial 16S ribosomal RNA". It matches the Rfam family "Bacterial small subunit ribosomal RNA", at positions 28 to 507 of the family's 1533-position model. The record is from RNAcentral.
GAUGAACGCUGGCGGCGUGCUUAAUACAUGCAAGUCGAACGGAAAGGCCCUGCUUUUGUGGGGUGCUCGAGUGCCGAACGGGUGAGUAACACGCGAGUAACCCGCCCUUAACUUUCGGAUAACUUCACGAAACAGGGGAUAUUAUCCGAUAGGAUCUCUUGCUGCACAGUGUGGGAUGGUAAGUUUCGGCGGUUGGGGAUCGUCUCGCGGCUUAUCAGCUUGUUGGUCGGGUAGUGGCUUACCAAGGGUUUGACGGAUAGCCGGCCUGAGAGGGUGACCGGCGACAAUGGGACUGAGGUAGGGCGCAGACGGCAACGGGAGGCAGCGGUGGAGAGUAUGGCGGAGUAGGGGGGAGCGUGAUACGGCGGCGCCGCGUGCGGAAAAACGGCCUACGGGGUAUGAACCACUUUCGAAUGUAACGAGGAGUGAGUGACGGUAAUGAGUCAGGAAGCACCGGCUAACUACGUG